RNAcentral lists this small RNA (83 nucleotides) under Marmota monax (woodchuck). The record is from RNAcentral. Lineage: Eukaryota; Metazoa; Chordata; Mammalia; Rodentia; Sciuridae.
GCUGGGCGUGGCGAUGCAUGCCUGUAAUCUCAGCAAUUUGGGAGGCUGAGGCAGGAGGAUCAUGAGUUCAAAGCCAGCCUCAC